Molecule: ribosomal RNA, 509 nt
Filed under: uncultured bacterium
Lineage: Bacteria
Description: bacterial SSU rRNA
Rfam family: Bacterial small subunit ribosomal RNA
Source: RNAcentral
AUCCUGGCUUAGGAUGAACGCUAGCGACAGGCUUAACACAUGCAAGUCGAGGGCAGCAUAAAAGUAGCAAUACUUGGUGGCGACCGGCGCACGGGUGAGUAACGCGUAUGCAACCUACCUAUCAGAGGGGAAUAACCCGGCGAAAGUCGGACUAAUACCGCAUAAAACAGGGGCACCGCAUGGUGAUAUUUGUUAAAGAAAUUCGCUGAUAGAUGGGCAUGCGUUCCAUUAGGUAGUUGGUGAGGUAACGGCUCACCAAGCCGACGAUGGAUAGGGGAACUGAGAGGUUGGUCCCCCACACUGGUACUGAGACACGGACCAGACUCCUACGGGAGGCAGCAGUGAGGAAUAUUGGUCAAUGGGCGGGAGCCUGAACCAGCCAAGUCGCCGUGAAGGAAGAAGGAUCUAUGGUUCGUAAACUUCUUUUGCAGGGGAAUAAAGUGCAGGACGUGUCCUGUUUUGUAUGUACCCUGAGAAUAAGGAUCGGCUAACUCCGUGCCAGCCGCCGC